Molecule: long non-coding RNA, 308 nt
Filed under: Ananas comosus (pineapple)
Lineage: Eukaryota; Viridiplantae; Streptophyta; Magnoliopsida; Poales; Bromeliaceae
Description: long non-coding RNA (ACOM_LNC039377)
Source: RNAcentral
AAGAGAAAGGAAAAGAGAAGAAGAGAAGAAAGGAAAGAAGAAAAGAGAGAAAAAGAAAGAGAAGAAGAAGGAGAAGAAGGUCUCCCUCCUCCUCUCCAUCUUCUCCUUGUGCAAGAGAGCAAGCUUAGAGAGGUAAGCCUUGAACUCCUUGGUGAUUUCUUGUGAGUUUAGGGUUAGGGUUUGAGUUUUAAACCCUAGAUCUUUGGUUUUGAUCUCCCUACAAGCUUUAGAACUUCGUAGUAGCCGAAGAACACAUGAAAUCCAUGAUUUCUUCGUAGUGCUCUAAUGGUGGAUUUCUAGGGGUUGUU